ACAUUUUCUUAUUAUUAUUUUGUUUUGCUUUUGGCAUUUUCUAGCAACUUUCCUUCCGAAAUAUGCUGUUAUUUCAAUAACUUUUCCAGACUGGAUGAAGCUGUGUGGACAUGGUCCUAUCUGGAUAAUUUGGAAAGGCUGCUGGCAUCUACAAACUAUGAGCUGAAGAAUGAUUUCACUGUGGUUCUUCAGACAUCUCUCCAAGAAAAUGGCAGGCAAGAAAAAGACUAUUUCACAGAGAAGAUACCCAUGAAGAUCACAGGGAAGGAGUUAGCUGUGACUGCUCUAGGAGUCGGACUCUGGAAUAAUAUGGUACGAUUCAUGGAAAUGUUGGGAUAAUUGAACAAAUGGCAUUCCACAAAUGCAUGGGUUUCUAGGUGAAUGGCUCCUAGCAUCACUCACCAAAGAAGAUGUAGGAAAGCACAGGAAAGUUAUAGGUGGAAAAUACAAGUGAUAUGGACCCUGCAUAUGAUUCCGAAUGAGGCAAAAUGGAUUUUAAUAAAAGCCUUGUCUAGAAGCAUUCUGGGUCUAUUGGAGAAGGCACCACUGAAGAAUCAGAGCAGCAAUGAGGAUAUUUUUUUGAUAAAAUUAUUAACUGUUGGAAACUGUGAUAACAGGAGAAAUAUUUUGUUUGAUUUACAUGUUCUACAUUUAAUAUCCUUAAAAACCCCAUUGAAAUACUUUCUGAACAAACAGAAAUGUUGUAAUUAUAUUUUAAAUGACUAGAUAACUUUGGAGCCCCCAGUGGCACAAUGGGUUAAACCACUGAACUGCCGCACUUGUUGACACUUUCCCAUGUGUAUUUUGGGUACAUGGAGAAUUUG
Molecule: long non-coding RNA, 824 nt
Organism: Anolis carolinensis (green anole)
Lineage: Eukaryota; Metazoa; Chordata; Lepidosauria; Squamata; Anolidae
Exons: 3
Source: RefSeq, a predicted model, not a curated record